Molecule: ribosomal RNA, 2924 nt
Filed under: Salmonella enterica subsp. enterica serovar Dessau
Lineage: Bacteria; Pseudomonadati; Pseudomonadota; Gammaproteobacteria; Enterobacterales; Enterobacteriaceae
Description: 23S ribosomal RNA
Rfam family: Bacterial large subunit ribosomal RNA
Source: RNAcentral
GGGUUGUGAGGUUAAGCGACUAAGCGUACACGGUGGAUGCCCUGGCAGUCAGAGGCGAUGAAGGACGUGCUAAUCUGCGAUAAGCGCCGGUAAGGUGAUAUGAACCGUUAUAACCGGCGAUUUCCGAAUGGGGAAACCCAGUGUGACUCGUCACACUAUCAUUAACUGAAUCCAUAGGUUAAUGAGGCGAACCGGGGGAACUGAAACAUCUAAGUACCCCGAGGAAAAGAAAUCAACCGAGAUUCCCCCAGUAGCGGCGAGCGAACGGGGAGGAGCCCAGAGCCUGAAUCAGCAUGUGUGUUAGUGGAAGCGUCUGGAAAGGCGCGCGAUACAGGGUGACAGCCCCGUACACAAAAGCGCAUGUGCUGUGAGCUCGAUGAGUAGGGCGGGACACGUGGUAUCCUGUCUGAAUAUGGGGGGACCAUCCUCCAAGGCUAAAUACUCCUGACUGACCGAUAGUGAACCAGUACCGUGAGGGAAAGGCGAAAAGAACCCCGGCGAGGGGAGUGAAAAAGAACCUGAAACCGUGUACGUACAAGCAGUGGGAGCACCCUUUGGGGUGUGACUGCGUACCUUUUGUAUAAUGGGUCAGCGACUUAUAUUCUGUAGCAAGGUUAACCGUAUAGGGGAGCCGCAGGGAAACCGAGUCUUAACCGGGCGUUAAGUUGCAGGGUAUAGACCCGAAACCCGGUGAUCUAGCCAUGGGCAGGUUGAAGGUUGGGUAACACUAACUGGAGGACCGAACCGACUAAUGUUGAAAAAUUAGCGGAUGAUCUGUGGCUGGGGGUGAAAGGCCAAUCAAACCGGGAGAUAGCUGGUUCUCCCCGAAAGCUAUUUAGGUAGCGCCUCGUGAACUCAUCUCCGGGGGUAGAGCACUGUUUCGGCUAGGGGGCCAUCCCGGCUUACCAACCCGAUGCAAACUGCGAAUACCGGAGAAUGUUAUCACGGGAGACACACGGCGGGUGCUAACGUCCGUCGUGAAGAGGGAAACAACCCAGACCGCCAGCUAAGGUCCCAAAGUCAUGGUUAAGUGGGAAACGAUGUGGGAAGGCCCAGACAGCCAGGAUGUUGGCUUAGAAGCAGCCAUCAUUUAAAGAAAGCGUAAUAGCUCACUGGUCGAGUCGGCCUGCGCGGAAGAUGUAACGGGGCUAAACCAUGCACCGAAGCUGCGGCAGCGACACUGUGUGUUGUUGGGUAGGGGAGCGUUCUGUAAGCCUGUGAAGGUGUGUCGUGAGGCAUGCUGGAGGUAUCAGAAGUGCGAAUGCUGACAUAAGUAACGAUAAAGCGGGUGAAAAGCCCGCUCGCCGGAAGACCAAGGGUUCCUGUCCAACGUUAAUCGGGGCAGGGUGAGUCGACCCCUAAGGCGAGGCCGAAAGGCGUAGUCGAUGGGAAACGGGUUAAUAUUCCCGUACUUGGUGUUACUGCGAAGGGGGGACGGAGAAGGCUAUGUUGGCCGGGCGACGGUUGUCCCGGUUUAAGCGUGUAGGCUGGUUUUCCAGGCAAAUCCGGAAAAUCAAGGCUGAGGCGUGACGACGAGGCACUACGGUGCUGAAGCAACAAAUGCCCUGCUUCCAGGAAAAGCCUCUAAGCAUCAGGUAACACGAAAUCGUACCCCAAACCGACACAGGUGGUCAGGUAGAGAAUACCAAGGCGCUUGAGAGAACUCGGGUGAAGGAACUAGGCAAAAUGGUGCCGUAACUUCGGGAGAAGGCACGCUGACACGUAGGUGAAGUGAUUUACUCAUGGAGCUGAAGUCAGUCGAAGAUACCAGCUGGCUGCAACUGUUUAUUAAAAACACAGCACUGUGCAAACACGAAAGUGGACGUAUACGGUGUGACGCCUGCCCGGUGCCGGAAGGUUAAUUGAUGGGGUCAGCGCAAGCGAAGCUCCUGAUCGAAGCCCCGGUAAACGGCGGCCGUAACUAUAACGGUCCUAAGGUAGCGAAAUUCCUUGUCGGGUAAGUUCCGACCUGCACGAAUGGCGUAAUGAUGGCCAGGCUGUCUCCACCCGAGACUCAGUGAAAUUGAACUCGCUGUGAAGAUGCAGUGUACCCGCGGCAAGACGGAAAGACCCCGUGAACCUUUACUAUAGCUUGACACUGAACAUUGAGCCUUGAUGUGUAGGAUAGGUGGGAGGCUUUGAAGUGUGGACGCCAGUCUGCAUGGAGCCGACCUUGAAAUACCACCCUUUAAUGUUUGAUGUUCUAACGUGGACCCGUAAUCCGGGUUGCGGACAGUGUCUGGUGGGUAGUUUGACUGGGGCGGUCUCCUCCUAAAGAGUAACGGAGGAGCACGAAGGUUGGCUAAUCCUGGUCGGACAUCAGGAGGUUAGUGCAAUGGCAUAAGCCAGCUUGACUGCGAGCGUGACGGCGCGAGCAGGUGCGAAAGCAGGUCAUAGUGAUCCGGUGGUUCUGAAUGGAAGGGCCAUCGCUCAACGGAUAAAAGGUACUCCGGGGAUAACAGGCUGAUACCGCCCAAGAGUUCAUAUCGACGGCGGUGUUUGGCACCUCGAUGUCGGCUCAUCACAUCCUGGGGCUGAAGUAGGUCCCAAGGGUAUGGCUGUUCGCCAUUUAAAGUGGUACGCGAGCUGGGUUUAGAACGUCGUGAGACAGUUCGGUCCCUAUCUGCCGUGGGCGCUGGAGAACUGAGGGGGGCUGCUCCUAGUACGAGAGGACCGGAGUGGACGCAUCACUGGUGUUCGGGUUGUCAUGCCAAUGGCACUGCCCGGUAGCUAAAUGCGGAAGAGAUAAGUGCUGAAAGCAUCUAAGCACGAAACUUGCCCCGAGAUGAGUUCUCCCUGAGACUUAGAGUCUCCUGAAGGAACGUUGAAGACGACGACGUUGAUAGGCCGGGUGUGUAAGCGCAGCGAUGCGUUGAGCUAACCGGUACUAAUGAACCGUGAGGCUUAACCUUACAACGCCAAAG